CCUACGGGCGGCAGCAGUGAGGAAUAUUGGUCAAUGGACGAGAGUCUGAACCAGCCAAGUAGCGUGAAGGAUGACUGCCCUAUGGGUUGUAAACUUCUUUUAUAUGGGAAUAAAACGUUCCACGUGUGGGAUUUUGUAUGUACCAUAUGAAUAAGGAUCGGCUAACUCCGUGCCAGCAGCCGCGGUAAUACGGAGGAUCCGAGCGUUAUCCGGAUUUAUUGGGUGUAAAGGGAGCGUAGGUGGAUUGUUAAGUCAGUUGUGAAAGUUUGCGGCUCAACCGUAAAAUUGCAGUUGAAACUGGCAGUCUUGAGUACAGUAGAGGUGGGCGGAAUUCGUGGUGUAGCGGUGAAAUGCUUAGAUAUCACGAAGAACUCCGAUUGCGAAGGCAGUUCACUGGACUGCAACUGACACUGAGGCUCGAAAGUGUGGGUAUCAAACAGGAUUAGAUACCCUAGUAGUC
Molecule: ribosomal RNA, 460 nt
Filed under: uncultured bacterium
Lineage: Bacteria
Description: partial 16S ribosomal RNA
Rfam family: Bacterial small subunit ribosomal RNA
Source: RNAcentral